GCGCCGUUGGUCUAUCGGUAAGAUUCGAGCUUCCCAAGCUCGCGUGGCGGGUUCGAUUCCCGCACGGCGCA
RNAcentral lists this transfer RNA (71 nucleotides) under Candidatus Pacearchaeota archaeon. Its description in RNAcentral is "tRNA-Gly". It matches the Rfam family "tRNA". Rfam says of the family: Transfer RNA (tRNA) molecules are approximately 80 nucleotides in length. Their secondary structure includes four short double-helical elements and three loops (D, anti-codon, and T loops). The record is from RNAcentral. Lineage: Archaea; Nanobdellati.